Molecule: signal recognition particle RNA, 74 nt
Filed under: Bacillus salinus
Lineage: Bacteria; Bacillati; Bacillota; Bacilli; Caryophanales; Bacillaceae
Description: Bacillus sp. HMF5848 signal recognition particle sRNA small type
Rfam family: Bacterial small signal recognition particle RNA
About the family: The signal recognition particle (SRP) is a universally conserved ribonucleoprotein involved in the co-translational targeting of proteins to membranes. Archaeal SRP consists of a 7S RNA and homologues of the eukaryotic SRP19 and SRP54 proteins.
Source: RNAcentral
UGCCAAGGCAGAGCUGUGAAAUGUGUCAGGAUCGGAAGAUAGCAGCACUAAACAGACUCCUGUUUGUGGUAAUA